RNAcentral lists this small nucleolar RNA (85 nucleotides) under Pichia kudriavzevii. Its description in RNAcentral is "Small nucleolar RNA snR54". It matches the Rfam family "Small nucleolar RNA snR54". From Rfam's summary of the family: snR54 is a member of the C/D class of snoRNA which contain the C (UGAUGA) and D (CUGA) box motifs. Most of the members of the box C/D family function in directing site-specific 2'-O-methylation of substrate RNAs. Lineage: Eukaryota; Fungi; Ascomycota; Pichiomycetes; Pichiales; Pichiaceae. The record is from Rfam by way of RNAcentral.
CAAAAUGAUGAUCAACAAAAUUAUUAACUUUCGUUCUACCGAUUGCGAUCAAACGAUCUUGUGGAGAACGUUUUUUUUACUGAUU